CGGCCCCUGCAGGGUUCUCCGCAAAGCAGGGGGAGGCGGGCGCGGGGCGAGGGCGCGCGCUGGGCCCAGGGCGGCGGGGCCGGAUCGAGUCCGUCGGCUCCCCGCGGGCGCCUCUGCUCCCUCUGCCUGGGCCCCGCCCCUCUCUGCGUCUCAUGAAUGAAAGAAAAUGUAUAAACUACCCUUGUCGCUGCUUCUACAAACGAUGGACAAAGUGCGUCUCCCCGCACACCUACCGGGCGCCGCACUCCCAAGAGCAUAAGGUGGCUCGAAGAUAAAAAGGCGACAGAGAAUCCCAGGCGCACGGAUACCAAGCCUCAGACUCAACUGAAGCAACAGGAUUCUCUAUCCCUCCUGAGACUCUGAACUGAUGGAGAUACUGUCAAAUGGACCAUGGAUGGAACUGCAAGGCCGUGGCGAAAGCACAAAAGCAUGGGCAGCGACGUCAGGCAGGCAUGAUGACAAUCUGACAAGAUGACUUCCAAGAAGCAGAAAAGAGCCGUGGUCCCCGACUGGCUGGGUCCACCCGGCUUCACAUGAGCUUUGUUUCCCAACCUUGGAUUAUCAACAACAUUGCUUUAUAAUUGCUUAUAUCUUUACACUAUUACCCCCUACCUAAACAUGUUCGAGUAGUUCUCUUCCUAUGUUUUUAUACAGAUUUGUCUCACCAGAUAUAUUCUAAAGAAAAAUACUCAGUCAAGGUUAAAAAAAUUUAUCAUUUAUUUUAAAGGCAUUAAUAAAAAGCUUAACACACUUUA
Long non-coding RNA from Canis lupus familiaris (dog), 755 nucleotides. RefSeq lists it as uncharacterized. The record is from RefSeq and is a predicted model, not a curated record. The transcript has 2 exons. NCBI's taxonomy places the organism in Eukaryota, Metazoa, Chordata, Mammalia, Carnivora, Canidae.